RNAcentral lists this transfer RNA (38 nucleotides) under Plagiothecium conostegium. RNAcentral describes it as "partial tRNA-Phe". The record is from RNAcentral. Lineage: Eukaryota; Viridiplantae; Streptophyta; Bryopsida; Hypnales; Plagiotheciaceae.
GCCGGAAUAGCUCAGUCGGUAGAGCAGAGGACUAAAAC